This is a long non-coding RNA of Myotis davidii, 160 nucleotides long. RefSeq lists it as uncharacterized. NCBI's taxonomy places the organism in Eukaryota, Metazoa, Chordata, Mammalia, Chiroptera, Vespertilionidae. The record is from RefSeq and is a predicted model, not a curated record. The transcript is spliced from 3 exons.
CCCUCUUCCUGACUCCGCCAGGGCUCUUCCUAUCUGAGGCCACCAGGUUGCCUAAGGAGGGGUGAACCGGCCCAGGUCGGAGACGGAGCAGGUCAAAGCUCCCAUGCUGACCAGCAGUGGGAUUGCGCCUGUGAAUAGACACUGCACUCCAGCCCGGGCA